Molecule: ribosomal RNA, 3090 nt
Filed under: Triticum aestivum (bread wheat)
Lineage: Eukaryota; Viridiplantae; Streptophyta; Magnoliopsida; Poales; Poaceae
Description: partial small subunit ribosomal RNA
Source: RNAcentral
AUGGAGGCCAUGGUGAGCGCCCCCCACGGCGCCGUGCAGAUCCUGUUGCGGAAGCUCGGCAACGUCCUCGCCACCAAAUAUGUGCUUCUCAGCGGCGUUCGUGGGGAGAUCCAGGUGCUCAAGGACGAGCUCGAGAGCAUGACCGCCUGCCUCCUCGAGCUCGCCGAUAGAGAUGAUCACAACGAACAAAUCAGGAUUUGGAUGAAACAGGUGAGGGAGGUCGCGUUUGAUGCGGAGGACUGUAUGGACAGGUUCUGUCGUCACCUCAGCGAGCACCAUGGAGAUCGACAAGGACUCCUGGAAUACUUGAAUAGAAUGUUCAACAUUGUGAGGACAUUGAGGGUACGACAUAAGGUGGCCACUGAUAUCCAGUGCCUCAAAUCUCGUGCCCAGGAAGUCAGUGACCGGAGGCUCAGGUACACGUACACUCUAGGUGACUCGGAUGGACGGUCGGGCAGAGCGCUUUAUACUUACAGCCACAUCGACAGCCUGGACCGCUGGUUACCUGCAAUCCAUGGUGACAGGUCCGGGCUAGUCGGGAUGGGCAAAAUGACUGAUGCCAUGGUCGGGCUGCUCAACAAGCAACGCCAGGCAGCGGCGGGUCCCCGAGUGCUGUCUAUAGUGGGGUUCGGUGGCCUCGGCAAGACCACCCUUGCGACGACUGUCUACAACACCCCAAAGUUGGGUGGUAUCCAGUGCCGCGCUUUCGUUUCGGUGUCCCAGACAUACGACCUUCGUUCUCUUCUAGAGUCCAUGCUGAAGCAGCUUUUGGCUUCGUCUGAGAAAGAUAAAAAUGAUGAUCCCCUCAAGAACAUUAAAGACUGGGAAAUAAGUGAGUUAGUCGACAAGAUUGGAAAACAUUUGGAUGCCAAGAGGUACUUGAUCGUUCUGGACGACGUUUGGAGAGCAGCUGCAUGGGAUCAGCUAAAAGUAGCUAUUCCUCAUGAUAAUAAUAAUAAAGUGGGCAGCAUAAUAAUUACUACACGCAGUCAUGAGGUAGCCGAAAGUUGCUGCACCUCUUCCAAUGACCAUGUCUAUGCAAUGAAGCGGUUACAGGAGGCUGAUUCACAGAAGCUAUUCUUCAAGACGGUGUUUAAUUCAGGGGAAUGUCCGACCGACCUGCUGAGAGUCUCCAAGGCCAUAUUGUCAAGGUGCAACGGCCUACCUCUAGCUAUAGUGAGCAUAGGGCGAAUGCUAGCUCGGAGGCUAAACAAGACAUCGGCAGAGUGGCAAACAAUAUGUGAUAGGCUGGGUUCUGAACUGGAGACAAACCCCACUUUAGAGGGAAUGAGACGGAUACUUGCUCUCAGCUACAAUGAUCUGCCGUACCAUCUGAAAGCAUGUUUCUUAUACCUGUGUGCUUUCCCUGAGGAUUUUAAGAUCAGAAGAGGCUCUCUGAUUAGAAGGUGGGCAGCUGAAGGCUUAAUCAUUGGAAUGUAUGACCGCAGUUUGGAAGAGAUUGCUCAGAUUUGUUUGGAUGAGUUUGUCAGUAGAAACAUUGUCAUCCCUGAACAGAUUGGCUCCAGUGGCAAGAUUAAGAGUUUUAAAGUCCAUGACAUAAUGCUAGAAGUUAUCAUUGCCAAAUCUGUCAAGGAAAAUUUCAUUUCGUUCCUAGGUAGCAGUCAAUACAAUACAACAGCAGGCCAUGACAAGGUACGACGGCUCUCCAUCCAUCCUGGUGGAACCAAUGAGAAGAGAACCUUUUGCAGUAAGAACAUAGUCCAUACCCGUUCACUGUCAAUUCUGGACAGCACUGCGAAACCUGUACCUAUCAAAAUUUCUGAUUUGACACUUUUAAGGGUUUUGGAUCUUGAAGGAUGUGCAUGGUUAAGAAAUAAAGAUCUCAAGGAGAUUUGCAAACUGUCUUUGCUGAGAUACCUAAGCCUCAGAAACACAACCAUAUCCCAACUACCAAAUGCAAUAGGGAAACUUAAAGAAUUGGUGACAUUGGAUGUAAGGGAAACUUCUGUCGCCAAAUUUCCCAAAGGCAUUACUCGGCUCCAGAAUCUGAAUCAUCUACUUGUAGGCCGUUAUGCAUAUUACACAAGGACAAAAAGUGUCAAGCAUUUUGUGUGGAAUGAUGGAGCAAAGGUACCACUUGGAUUAGGGAAUAUGGGCGCCCUCCAGAGAAUCUCUCAUGUAGACAUCUCUACAAAGAAAAGCUCCAAUGCAAUGCGUGAGCUGGGAAAAUUGCGUCAGUUAACAAGACUUUGUGUAAUCAACAGGAAGGAAGCAAAGCUUUGGAAACCAUUUGCUGAGUCUUUGGAUGAGCUUAGCAACUCUCUACGCUAUCUAAUGGUUGUGGACGGUUCAGAGCAAGUCAAGAAGCUGAAAUUUUUAGCAGGCCUGAAGAAUCCCCCUCUGUUGCUGGAGAGCCUGCAUUUGGUGGGACGGCUAAGGGAGCUGCCUAGCUGGGUUUCAUCACUCAAUAACUUGGCCAGUCUGUCGCUUCGAGAGACUCACCACUUGGCUGAGGAAUCUUUUGAGGUUCUAGCGAAGCUCCCCAGUCUUGUUUCUCUCAAGCUAUACUGCAAGGGAUAUAAGGGGAGAGCCUUAUUUAAAGAGGGCUGGUUUCCCCAGCUGAAGCAAUUGGUUGUGGAUAAUCUGGAACAGCUCGAGGAGCUCAGCUUCCAUGGGGGCGCAUCUAAACUUGAGAGGCUGACAUUGUAUUUCCCGAGUGUGCCCCGUGGAGGCGUUAAUGGCAUUGGAAAAGAAAAGCUGCCUCAGCUAAGAGAAGUUGAGUUCUUCGGUGUCGUUAUAGAGUCUAUAUUUGAGCAGGUGGUUGAGGCGGCCAAAGAAUAUCCAAAUCAUCUUAAAGUUACCAGGGAGGAUCGACCUACUACGGAAGCUGCAGAAACAAGUUCAGGGGCGGGGAGCAGUGAGCAGGAGUCAACCGACCAGCAGGUGGAUAGGCUUGCAUGGCGUCUGCUGCCUUCAACGUGUCCUCUCGCUUAUAUACUGAAUGUACAUGAGAUCGAGCCAUCUUGCAUUUGGUUGUGGAAAUCUUAUUUACCUGCAGAUCGACCGAGCCAACUACAGUUCUUAUUUACCUGGCAUCGCAGCAGAUAUGGAAGGACGCACCAUCCAUGA